Paludibacter jiangxiensis is the source of this 59-nucleotide regulatory RNA element. NCBI's taxonomy places the organism in Bacteria, Pseudomonadati, Bacteroidota, Bacteroidia, Bacteroidales, Paludibacteraceae. The record is from Rfam.
AAAAUAGUGGAUAGAUUUGAUUGCUUGCAACCACGGAAAAAAAUGCUAAAACGUGAUUC